Anneissia japonica is the source of this 1258-nucleotide long non-coding RNA. RefSeq lists it as uncharacterized. Lineage: Eukaryota; Metazoa; Echinodermata; Crinoidea; Comatulida; Comatulidae. The transcript has 3 exons. The record is from RefSeq and is a predicted model, not a curated record.
UUUAUUUGCGGGACACUCCCAUAGCUGCGACAACAUUGAACACAAUCAUCUACUCCAUCAUUUUGUAUAACGUAUUUAACUGGAAAUAAGUUAUAGAACAGUAGUGAUGUAUCAUGUAUAACUAUUUUGCAGUAGCGUAUAUUCAAAGGUUGUAUGUAAUUUAAUACUGGUAAAUUAUAAUAAUUCUUAAAAGUCAAAUAUGACUGAGACAGUAAAAGUAAUGGCAAGUCCAUGAAACAAAUAAAACGUCAUCCUAAUAUAGACGAAAACAAAUUGAAAAAAUACUUCUACCUUUGGUUCUCGCACUGUUAUUGGUUAAAUAUCAGCUUGAGCUUCUUAAGCAACUUCAGUAAUUCACGGCAGGAACUGUUGUAACUAGAAAAAUUGUUCUUUAUAUAGGCCUACCGUCUAUGUUUUCCCAGGUGCUUAUCACUACAUACACCAGGCUCCGCCCUAAUGCGAUCUACAUCCGUCUGUGAACAGAAAGUUGUUAACAUCGCCUUUCAAAAGACAGGUAACCAUGCAUGGUAAGACCGUGGCAACUUUUAAAAGUUGAUAGGUCGACAUGGCAGGAAAAUGUAUCUGUGCAUGUCGACAUGACAUGUAUAUUAUGUCGACUUGUCAAGUAUUAAUCUUGAGAAGUCGUCAAGUAGGAUGGCACUUAAGCGCUCCCAUAUACAGGUGAAGUGUAUUGCAAGUGCGCACUUCUCCGUGUGUGAUGUGUCUGUCUGUCUGUCGGUCUGUCUGUCGUGGUGUCUGUCUGUCUGUCUGUCUGUGGUGUGUGUGUCCUUCAGGGGGAAUAACUCAAAGAUUACUAGACUGUUUUUCACACCCUGACAAUAUUACAUGUAUCCGACUUUAUUUGGUGCUGAUCAAAGGUUCUUAUUUUUCCCGGGUGCGUUAUCACUACAUAAACCAGGCUCCGCACUAAUACCACCUACAUAAUCCAUCCGUGGACAGAAAUUUGUUGUUAAUGGAGUCUCAAUAGAUUGACAGCUCUAACUAUUUUUGGUGUCUGGCGCAGAAAACAAUGUUAAGAUGCUAAACCCUAGACGGAAAUUUCUAGCUGUUGAAAUGAUGUGGAAGAGUCAACAAACGCCUGUUUAAUCAACUGAGCAUUAUAUAUACUUCAAAACGGAAACAAUGAAAUCUAUUUUGUUAUAUCGGGCUUUCACUUUCAAUUUCUACAAGGAUUAGCUCUUAUACCUUUUCAGUCGGCAUUUGUUUACCCCUCAACGUAAUAUUUAUUCCAUUUUUG